CCUACGGGAGGCAGCAGUGAGGAAUAUUGGUCAAUGGCCGGAAGGCUGAACCAGCCAAGCCGCGUGAAGGACGAAGGUGCCAAGCAUUGUAAACUUCUUUUGUCAAGGGACAAAAUCAGGCUCGAGAGCCUGACCGAGGGUACUUGAAGAACAAGCCCCGGCUAACUACGUGCCAGCAGCCGCGGUAAAACGUAGGGGGCGAGCGUUGUCCGGAAUGACUGGGCGUAAAGGGUGCGUAGGCGGCAUAAUAAGUUAGAAGUGAAAUACCCAGAGCUUAACUCGGGUGCUGCUUCUAAGACUGUUGAGCUUGAGUGCGGGAGAGGGUAAUGGAAUUCCUAGUGUAGCGGUGGAAUGCGUAGAUAUUAGGAGGAACACCAGAGGCGAAGGCGAUUAACUGGACCGUAACUGACGCUGAGGCACGAAAGUGUGGGUAGCAAACAGGAUUAGAUACCCCUGUAGUC
RNAcentral lists this ribosomal RNA (461 nucleotides) under uncultured bacterium. RNAcentral's name for it is "partial 16S ribosomal RNA". It matches the Rfam family "Bacterial small subunit ribosomal RNA", at positions 338 to 795 of the family's 1533-position model. The record is from RNAcentral.